ACACCCGAAUCCGCGGUAAGGCAGGAUUAUUCUCAUAGAACACGGGAGAGAGGGAGAGGUCAAAGGACCAGCUUUCCCGCGAAGAGGACAUCGUCAGUCCUUUCGUCUCAACAGCGCGCACCCGUCUGCGUGUCUCGUUCAUCGGCAUUGUCUCGCGGCCACGCAAUCGCACACAUUUUCCGUUUACGCGAAAGGAAGGCAAUUCUUCGGUGGCCGAUCUCACAGCUUGUACACGGGUUUGCCUCACUUCGCGGCUUUUUUUUUUGCCUGCACCCUCGCCUCCAUCCGCGCAGACGCACAUAGGCGUCAGCGUGUCUCGACGAGCACGACUUGCUUCACGUCUUUUUCUCGCUCUUUACCCUCUUGCGUCUUUUUUCGAAGACGCCGACGCGAACAUGUCCGCGCGGCUGGAGAGCGGGACGAGGGUGGGGUGGCUCUUUAAUUACCACCCCAUCACCGAGGUGCUGCAGGAGGAGGAGGACGCUGUCGCCGGCGAAGGGACGCAGCGAGCGGCGCUCGUGCUGCUUUUCCAGGACCUCGCCGGCGACACCUUCUACGUGCACCUCCACUACGACCCGUACAUCCUUGUGCAGGCCGUCGAGGGUCACGAGCGCGAGGUGGAGCUCGGCCUCAUGUCCAGCUUCGGCCCGCAGAUCAUCAGCGAAAUUAUCGCCGUGGAAAAGGAAGAUCUCGAUCUCGUGAACCAUCUGAGUGGUAAGAAGCGCGUCUACCUCAAGGUGGUCUUCCGUAAUGUGCAGGACCUCACGACGGUGCGCGGGCGACUGGAAAAAACCGUCAAGCUCAACGCCUCCCUCGGUUCCGAGAACCCGCUGCGGAGCCAGUUCAGCGGCUCGCUCGGUGACGCCAUGGCGAAACCGUUCGCUGAAGAUCCCCUUUACAGCGCAGCUGGUAGCAGUCGGUGGAUGGACUGGGUGCAGGACAUACGCGAGUACGACGUGAAGUACCACAUGCGCGUCGCCAUCGACAUGAAGGUGUACUGCGGCCUCUGGUACGACGUGACGGUCACGGAGGGAGGCGCGCGUGUGCAGCGGUGCGACGACAGCCGCUACGCGCCGGCCAUGCCACGUGUCAUCGCCUUCGACAUUGAAACGACAAAGGCCCCUCUGCGCUUUCCGCAGCCGGAGGUGGAUGAGGUGUACAUGAUAUCCUACAUGCUGGACGGUCGCGGCUACCUGAUCAUCAACCGCGAGAUCGUGACGGAGGACAUCGCGCCGUUCGAGUACACCCCAAAGCCCGAGUACGAGGGCUUCUUCGACACCUUCAACGAGGAGAACGAGGCAGCGACGCUGCGACGCUUCUUCGAUGAGAUGCGCAAGUACAAGCCGAACGUCUAUGUCACGUACAACGGCGACUACUUCGACUUCCCCUUCAUCCAUGCCCGUGCCCUGUACCACGGCAUGAAUAUGCGCAAUGAGAUCGGCUUCACGCAGAUGGCCGACGGCGCCUUCCUGAACAAGCAGAUACCUCACCUCGAUUGCUUCUACUGGGUAAAGCGGGACUCGUACUUGCCGCAGGGCAGUCAAGGCUUGAAGGCGGUCACCAAGUACAAGCUCGGCUACGAGCCUAUCGAGGUGGACCCCGAAGACAUGCUCCCUCUCGCGCAGUCGCAGCCGCAGCGCAUGGCCUCGUACUCGGUGUCGGACGCUGUGUCGACGUGGUACCUCUAUCAGAAAUACGUGCACCCCUUCAUCUUUUCCCUCGCCACAAUUAUUCCAAUGCCACCAGACGACGUACUGCGCAAGGGCUCGGGCGGCUUGUGCGAGUCACUGCUGAUGGUGCAGGCAGAGGCGAACAACGUGGUGUUUCCGAACAAGAAGGAAAUAGAGCGGGAGCGUUUCUACGAGGGCCACCUGAUUGACACGGAGACCUACAUCGGCGGCCGUGUUGAAGCGCUGCGCAGCGGCGUGUACCGCUCCGAUAUCCCGAUGACGUUCGACAUGAAUCCUGAUACCUACCAGAGUCUCAUCGACGACGUCGACGAAGCACUCCGCUUCACCCUCGAGGUGGAGAACGGUGUGAAGGUAGAGGAGGUAACGAAUCUGGAAGAGGUAAGGGCGGCCAUCCUCGCCAAGCUAACGAACCUGCGCGACCGGCCGCACCAGCAAGAGAAGCCGUUCAUCUACCACCUCGACGUCGGCGCCAUGUACCCGAACAUCAUCCUCACAAACCGCCUGCAACCGUACGCCAUUGCGCGGCCAGACGUGUGCGCUGGAUGCUGCUUCAACUCCCCGAACAACGAGGCGCAGUGCAAGCGUGUCAUGUCGUGGAAGUGGAGGGCCGAGCUCUUCACCGCCGGCCGCUACGAGUUUCAGCGGGUCAAGGCCCAGCUCGAGAACGAGUCCUUUGCCGCCGGCGUGAUUGAGCAGGCAAACCUCGCGGCCGUGCAGAAAAAGGCGUACGGCAACCGCAAGGGCAAUGUACUGGAAGGCACCUCGUACGAGCGGAAAGACGACUGGAAAAAGAGUCAGAGCAGUCGCAAGGGCGGCGGCGGUGCCGGAUACCGACAAGAGUCACGGCAGCAGCAGCGCGAGGCUGCCGACGCGCUUCUCCAGCGCGAGUUCGGUGCCGAUCGCAACGGUGAAGGCGGCAGCUCCGACUCGGACGGCGACGCCGACGGCCCAAAGGCGUACCACAAGCUCAACGAGAACACGCAGUUCAACAUGCUGAAACGGCGGCUCAGCGAAUAUAGCCGAAAAGCCUACGGCAAGAUUCACGAGACGCGUGAAGUGAUGCGGUCCAACGUGGUGUGCCAGCGCGAGAACUCCUUCUACGUCGACACGGUUCGCCUUUUUCGCGACCGCCGCUACGAAUACAAGGCAGCACUGAAGACAUGGAAGAAGAGGCUGGACGCUGCGAAGGACUCGGACGAGCGCAAGGUGUGCCAGAGUCGCUGCGUGCAGAUGGAAUCGCUGCAGCUGGCCCACAAGUGCAUCCUCAACUCGUUUUACGGCUACGUGAUGCGUAAAGGCUCGCGGUGGUCGAGUAUGGAAAUGGCGGGCAUCGUCACCUAUCUCGGCGCGACGCUGAUUCAGAUGGCCCGCUCGCUUGUCCAGCAGAUCGGUGUGACGCUCGAGCUUGACACGGAUGGCAUCUGGUGCUGUCUUCCCAACACGUUUCCCGAGAACUUCACUUUGGCCACGACAAACCCGUCCAAGCCGAAGAUAUCGAUAUCGUACCCGUGCGUCGUGCUGAACAAAAUGGUGCACGAUCGGUACUCAAAUCACCAGUACCAGGACCUUGUCAGCACGGGCGUGUACAAGACGCGCAGCGAGUGCUCGAUCUACUUUGAAGUAGACGGCCCGUACCUCGCCAUGCUGCUGCCUGCCAGUCGCGAGGAAGGCAAAAGCAUCAAGAAGCGCUACGCCGUCUUCAGCCCGGACGGCAGCUUGGCCGAGCUCAAGGGGUUUGAGCUGAAACGUCGCGGAGAGCUGAUGCUUGUCAAGGACUUCCAGUCACAGGUGUUCCGCCGCUUCCUCGACGGCAGGACGCUCGCUGACGCGUACGCCUCGGCGGCUGUCGUGGCGGAUGCCGCGCUUGACAUGCUUGAGUCCAAAGGCGAAGGCUACGAUACAGAGGAGAUUCUGGAGAAGAUUACGGAGAGCAGCAACAUGACUCGGCGACUCUCCGAGUACCCCGAAUCGCAGAAGUCGCUGGCCAUCACGACAGCACGGCGCAUUGCCGAGUUCCUGGGACCGCAAAUGGUAAAAGACAAGGGCCUGGCGUGCCACUUCAUCAUCUCACGCAUGCCGGCCGGCCGCCCCGUCACGGAGCGGGCGAUCCCCGUCACGAUAUUCCGCGCGGACCCGGCAGUUCGCACGCAUUUUCUGCGCAAGUGGACCGCCGACACAACGGUUCCGUCCGAGCUGAAUUUGAAGACGCUGCUGGACUGGGACUACUACACUGCACGCUUCAGCGCCUGCGUGCAGAAGAUUGUGUCUAUCCCGGCGGCGCUGCAGUCGCUGCCGAACCCGGUGCCGCGCGUGGUGCACCCGGACUGGCUGGAAAAGCGCAUUCGUCACCGCAACUCCCGCUACCGUCAAGUGUCACUUCUCGGCAUGCUAUCCAAGGUGCAAGGCAAGAACGAGGCGCUGGCUGGCGUGUCGGCGGCGGCCGCCGCCGCUGCCGUCAGAGUGGACGAGGACGAGGACGGGGUCGUGCUGGAGCAGGGGGGUGGUGCGGGCGCUGUAGAGGGAGAGCUGCAAGACUUGGAGGACAUGGCGGGCGGUGCAGGCAGCAGCACCGUACGCCACGCGCCAAAGACGCAAAAAGCCCGUGCGGCCUGUGCUGGUGAACGACGAUGUGCCGCGGGGACGGACGCUGAAACGGACUGGGACGAAGACGACACGGAUUGUGAGGGGGAGUCGGAGGACGACAUGGAGCGGCUGCAGCGCGAGGCGGAUGCCGAGCUGGAUGCGCUGGCGCAUGAUGUAAAACAGCGCUACUUUGCUCCAAGGAGCGCGAACGCGCUCGACGCAGAUUUUUUCGCCGACCGUGGUGCGAAGCGUUGGCUGGCCCAGCGCAAGGACACGUGGCUACAGCGAGCUCGUCUGCGCAGGGAGCUGGCGCUCGAGAACGGCCGGAGCGAGGUCGCUCUGGGUGGGGAGAACAGUGACGCAGUGGCUCUCGGGCAAGCGACGGCGCCCGAUGUCGCUGGCAUGAACAGCCACUUCAUCGAUCUAAAGUCACGUGCGCUGGCGACCGUCUGGAACGUGCUCGAGGUGCGCGAGAAUGAGGAGAGUCCCGGAACUGUGCAGGUGCUUGCGGCGCUGGAGCAUAGCCUCUACUCCUUUCGCGUUCAGGUGCGUCGCACCGUCCUUGUAGACGCGGACCCCGCGCUGCGCCUGCAGGCGUUCGACGCCACUGAGGUCAGCGGGCGGGUGCUGCCGCGGCGUGCAGCAGCCGGCCGCCUCUACCAGGUCAAUGUUCCGCCUGGCGAGGAGGGGGAGCGGUGCCUCAAUGCGCUGCACGUGAUGGAGGGCGUUCGCCGGAUCUACGAGGAGCAUCGCACGCGCGUGGACACGUUCGUCGAGCAACUCGGUUGCUGCGUCUCCGUCGACUCGGCGCGGCACCUGCGCAACGCGCGUCGGCGCCCACCUUCGCAGCGUGAGCUCUUUGGCAUAGAUGAGAUGAACAUGCACACGUGCACGAAUUAUCUCAGCUGUGGCGCCGCGGACCGUGCCGUGUUCGUCUUCCACGCGGUGACGGAACAGCGCGGUUUGAUCGCUGCCGUUUAUCCGCAGACCAACACUGCCUUCGUCGUCUUUAUUCAGCCCGCUGAAGCGGCAAAGCCCGUGAUCAGCUGGAGCAGCAUUUGCGCGGAGAGCGCAAAGCGGCUGCACACGAGCACGCCGGAGCCGAUUCGGGUCACAUCCGCGGUGGCGGAGGAUCAGCGAGCAGCGUGGCGGCAGGUUCAUCAGCACCUGAGCGCCGCCUUGGAAAACGCCAAGGCGCCUCUUCUGGCUGUGCUGCAGAGCUGCCAGCCCACGUCGACACUCCUGCAGCAGCGCGCGUUGCCUGUGGGACUGCCUUACCUGCGUGUCCUCGGCGCUGCGGAAGAUGAGCGGCUGCUGAGCGACCCGUUCCGCUGGACGCGCCUGCUGGCGCGGCGACUGUUUGAACGCUUCUUCGCGUCGCUAUUGUGGGUAGAGGAGCGUCUGGCGCUGAGCCGUGUCUCUGGCAUCCCGCUUUGCAACAUUGCCCAGGACAGCUGCGUGCAUGUGCUGGAUGUGCUGUACAGUCGUGCCCUACACCGGCGUCAUCACGUGCUGUGGUGCAGCAGCGACCCUCUCAUAACUUUUGACACCGUGGAGGAGCGUCCGCGCGAGGUGUGCAUGGCUGGCGGCUAUACUUCGUGGUGCGUCGAAUUCGGCCUUUCGCGCCUGGACGUCGUCGCGCUGCUCUUCUCACAGGCGAUUGAGGAAGGCGAUGACCCGAACGCGCGGGUGCUGUGUGACCGUGGCGUAUCGACGCACUUCAACAUCCUGCGUGAUCUGGUGGCCGACUUGCUGGGGCAGGCCAUGGAGAACAUCCUCGCCGACACACUCCUGAACAACGUGGCGCGGUGGCUGCGCGACCCGGCGUCGUCCUGCUACGAGCCGCGCUUGGUGGAGCUUCUCAGCAGUCUCGCACACCGUGCACUCACGGGCAUCCUGCUCCGCCUCGCCAAGCUCGGCGGCCGCGCCGUAAAGGUGGACGGCAGUUCCGUCACCGUCCUCACCUCCAAGUACUCGCUUCAGGAGGCGGUGAGCUUCGCCCGCUUUCUGACAGCAUCGCUGCAGGACCAGCCGAUGCUACUGCUGCUCUCGCUGCAGCCACUGCGCUACUGGUGUCCAUAUGUGGUGCUUGACCCUUGCGACUACGCUGGCCUGUUCAUCACCGAGGACGCCAUCAAGCUCAAGCAGGGCGAGGAGCCGACACGAGCGGAUCUGCACGUAGCACAUCAGCUCACGAUGGCUAGCCGACUUCCCAGCCGUGCCCGCAACACUUUUGUGGAGCGCGUUGUCGAGACUCUCUACCAGCUGAACGCGUCAACACACCAUGUCUACUGCGACACGGUAGGCGAUCACACGGUCACGCUCGCCACGCGGCACGACCACCUGACGAGGCGCUUGUUGCAGGACUCGCAGAAGCUCUUUGAAGGUGUCUUGCAGACAGACAUCAUGGACGAGGUGCAGCGCGUGAUGGACACGCGCGACCUGUACACCGAGGAGGAGCACGCAGCACACGAGCGCGGCGAGUUGACGCUGUGGUCCAGCGGCGCCGUUGCACUCGAGUACGCGAAGUGUGUGUGUCGUGUGCUGGAGCUGAUCCCGUGCAACGGCGCCGUCGGCAAGGUGCGCAACAACUGCAUGCGUUUAUGCGGCAUCAGCCCAUUCUCCGCCCAGUCGCAGUUUCAGGCCGAUCCUUUCCUGGCGCACCGCCUUCAGUCCGUCACGUGCAGUUUCUGCAACUCUCACAUCUCGAUCGACUUGCUUGUGAGGCGGAAGUCGGUGACAUCGCCAUUUACCUGCACAGCGUGUGCGGCGCCAAUUGCGGCAGCUUCCAUGGAAGGAACGCUCGUCCGUCAUGUGAGCCAGCUGCUGCGAGUUUACAACCAGCAGGACUUCGUGUGCACCAAGUGUCGUGAGAUGACAACAACCUAUGUGGCGGAAACGUGCUGUGGCGCGCUCGUCGGCAAGGCCGCGCCGGUAGAGGGCGAGCUCCGGGCACUUCAUCACCUUGCGAAGAUACAAGACUUUGCGUGGCUUGCCGAGAGCGUGGAGGCGGCGCUCCUCUGCACGUGAGAGCUCUUUGUCAAGGUGUGCUGUGGCGGCACGCGCACAGUAGCCUUUGCAAGUACGCUCACCGCACGGCGCAGGCGCAGCAAAGCACGCCCUGCGCCGUGCGGUUUCCGCUCCACUGUGGCGCGGUGGGGCUCUACCAGCUCUCGUUUCCGCGCACGCCAACUCAGCGCGCGCGCGCAUACACGCAGCGUGCGAGUCAUGGGCUGCCAAAAACAAACGCAGCGAAAACGAUAGCGGCGGCUACCUUGGGGACCAAGAGCUUUUUCGCUCUUCUUCGUCCGCCCGAGAAGCGGCAACAACGUACAUCCAUGUGCAUUUUCACAUAGACAUGAACGGACCGUUUUAUAGAAUAGGCUUGGGGGUGGCCGCUGAUGGCGCAUUCCCGAAUUCGCACCUUGCCUUGCAUGGCUGUGACUUACCUAAAGGCCAUAGUAUCCGCCUCUCUGUCGAGACUGUGCAUGAUGGGCUGUUUUCUCUUUUACUUCUUUGCGAGUCUGCUGUGGGUUUGAGAUGCGCGUCUUCGUAAGCCAUACGCCCUCAGAUGGAAAGGAGGCAACACUGCGCGUUUGAUGUUCGAGCGAGAGAGAGAGAAAGAGGGUGAUAAAUCGUGCCGGCCUCUUUGCGCUCGUCCACGCAUGUGGAGAACUGAGGCGUCCUGCAGGGUUGCGCUUCUAGUUCACCUGUCCCCCGCCCCGUUACUGCAUGCACGAGGAGAGGGUCAGGAGCUUCUGGUCACAUGCGUCCUACUGUCGUAGUAUCCUACGCGCUAUGUCUUAUUCUUGCCUCCUAUCUCUCCCUCUCUGGGUACAUCGGCCCGCCCCCAUCCUCCUCUCCCUUGCUGCUGCCGCUUCUGUUAUUAUUAUUAUUUUGUAUUUUGCGGUGCCGCUCUUCUCCUUCGUCGACUGCAACAACAUGCACGCACACGUACAG
RNAcentral lists this unclassified non-coding RNA (8234 nucleotides) under Leishmania donovani. Its description in RNAcentral is "gene:LdHU3.35.5860(CDS-product:DNA_polymerase_eps ilon_catalytic_subunit_putative)". Lineage: Eukaryota; Euglenozoa; Kinetoplastea; Trypanosomatida; Trypanosomatidae. The record is from RNAcentral.